CCGAGCACGUUUCCCCUGGAACACCGCAGUAGCCCAAAAGGAGAACUAAGGAUGGGUUACAGGUUGAAAAAAGAUGAAGCGUUACCUCCGAAGUCCGGCCGCAAGCGAAUGUCAUAUCCUUUGAGCAAUCUGUCCACUGUCUCUUUCACAAAAUGGCUAGAAAAAGGGAAUCUAAGAUAGUGGAGCCAUGUAAUGAGAGGAGCCAGAUACCUGUGUCAACACUUGGAGACAAGCUACUGAGGAAUGCAUACGAAUAAACAACAUUGGACUUUACAUGAAGAAGAAAUAAACUUUUCAUUAUUUUGUAUUGUUUUUGUUAUAGAGGCUAGGGUUGAUUACCAUGACAAUGUUUAAACAUAGGUAAUCUCAAAAAUACAAAUUAAUAUAAAAAGCCUUUGUAGGGAAAUGGAUGGAGCUGGAGACCAUUAUCCUUAGCAAACUGAGGCAGGAAGAGAAAACCAAAUACCACAUGUUCUCACUUAUAAGUGAGAGCUAAAUGAUGAGAACACCUGGACACAUAGAGGGAAACAACACACACUGUGGCCUAUCAGAGGGUGGAGGGUGGGAGGAGGGAGAGGGUCAAGAAAAAUAACUAAUGUAUACUAGGCUUAAUACCUGGGUGAUGAAAUAAUCUGUACAACAAACCCCCAUGAUGCAUGUUUACCUGUG
This 669-nucleotide long non-coding RNA is filed under the name Homo sapiens (human). RNAcentral describes it as "HSALNT0319467". The record is from RNAcentral. Lineage: Eukaryota; Metazoa; Chordata; Mammalia; Primates; Hominidae.